UACGGAGGGUGCAAGCGUUAUCCGGAUUCACUGGGUUUAAAGGGUGCGUAGGUGGGCAGGUAAGUCAGUGGUGAAAUCUCCGGGCUUAACCCGGAAACUGCCAUUGAUACUAUCAGUCUUGAAUACCGUGGAGGUAAGCGGAAUAUGUCAUGUAGCGGUGAAAUGCUUAGAUAUGACAUAGAACACCAAUUGCGCAGGCAGCUAUCUACAGGAAUAUUGACACUGAGGCACGAAAGCGUGGGGAUCAAACAGG
This 253-nucleotide ribosomal RNA is filed under the name uncultured bacterium. Its description in RNAcentral is "partial 16S ribosomal RNA". It matches the Rfam family "Bacterial small subunit ribosomal RNA", at positions 524 to 776 of the family's 1533-position model. The record is from RNAcentral.